UUUCAUCACAAUCAUUAAAUUUUCAACACAAGUCAUUUAUAUUAUAUAUUUUAAGAUUUAAGUUGAAUUAGAAUUUUGAAAUUUCAUCACAAAUCAUUUAAUUUCAUAAAAAAGAAUACAAAAAAAAAUUGAAAAAAAAGGAAAAAGCCCGGAACUGCCGGUUUUCGGCUCGGCCCGGAACCGCUGGUUCAGGGUCAGA
RNAcentral lists this long non-coding RNA (199 nucleotides) under Salvia miltiorrhiza (redroot sage). RNAcentral's name for it is "long non-coding RNA (SMIL_LNC004077)". Lineage: Eukaryota; Viridiplantae; Streptophyta; Magnoliopsida; Lamiales; Lamiaceae. The record is from RNAcentral.